GACGAACGCUGGCGGCGUGCCUAAUACAUGCAAGUAGGACGCAGUUGCGAACGGGUGAGUAACGCGUAGGUAACUACCUAUUAGAGGGGGAUAACUAUUGGAAACGAUAGCUAAUACCGCAUACUAGUAGAUGGACCUGCGUUGUAUUAGCUAGUAGGUAGGGUAAUGGCCUACCUAGGCAACGAUACAUAGCCGAUCUGAGCAGGGGGUGGGCCACCCUGGGGCGUAGGAACGGCCCAGACUCCGUCGGGAGGCAGCAGUAGGGAAUCUUCGGCAAUGGGGGGAACCCUUACCGAGCAACGCCGCGUGAGUGAAGAAGUUUUUCGGAACGUAAAGCUCUGUUGUUAAGGAAGCGGUACUUAACCAGAAAGGGACGGCUAACUACGUGCCAGCAGCCGCGGUAAUAC
This 407-nucleotide ribosomal RNA is filed under the name uncultured bacterium. Its description in RNAcentral is "partial 16S ribosomal RNA". It matches the Rfam family "Bacterial small subunit ribosomal RNA", at positions 28 to 526 of the family's 1533-position model. The record is from RNAcentral.